This 72-nucleotide transfer RNA is filed under the name Rhipicephalus microplus (southern cattle tick). Its description in RNAcentral is "tRNA-Glu". It matches the Rfam family "tRNA". Rfam says of the family: Transfer RNA (tRNA) molecules are approximately 80 nucleotides in length. Their secondary structure includes four short double-helical elements and three loops (D, anti-codon, and T loops). Lineage: Eukaryota; Metazoa; Arthropoda; Arachnida; Ixodida; Ixodidae. The record is from Rfam by way of RNAcentral.
UCCGGCGUGGUCUAGUGGCUAGGAUACCUGGCUUUCACCCAGAAGGCCCGGGUUUGAUUCCCGGCGUCGGAA